Molecule: microRNA, 22 nt
Filed under: Echinops telfairi (small Madagascar hedgehog)
Lineage: Eukaryota; Metazoa; Chordata; Mammalia; Afrosoricida; Tenrecidae
Description: Ete-Mir-26-P1_3p* (star (passenger))
Source: RNAcentral
CCUAUUCUCGGUUACUUGCAUG